Molecule: ribosomal RNA, 253 nt
Filed under: uncultured bacterium
Lineage: Bacteria
Description: partial 16S ribosomal RNA
Rfam family: Bacterial small subunit ribosomal RNA
Source: RNAcentral
UACGUAGGGGGCAAGCGUUGACCGGAUUUAUUGGGCGUAAAGAGCGUGUAGGCGGCCAUACAGGUCAGCUGUGAAAACUCGAGGCUCAACCUCGAGACGUCGGUUGAAACCGUAUGGCUAGAGUCCGGAAGAGGAGAGUGGAAUUCCCGGUGUAGCGGUGAAAUGCGCAGAUAUCAGGAAGAACACCCGUGGCUAAGGCGGCUCUCUAGUACGGUACUGACGCUGAGACGCGAAAGCGUGGGGAGCGAACAGG